GACAGAGGCCUCAAGCGUUUAGGCGGAAUCACUGGGCUUAAAGCGUGUGUAGGCGGAUCGUUAAGUGUCUUGUGAAAUCCCACGGCUCAACCGUGGAAGUGCACUCGAAACUGGAUGGCUAGAGUCCUGGAGAGGAAGGUGGAAUGCUUGGUGUAGAGGUGAAAUUCGUAGAUAUCAAGCGGGAACACCGGUGGCGAAGGCGGCUCAC
This 208-nucleotide ribosomal RNA is filed under the name uncultured bacterium. RNAcentral's name for it is "partial 16S ribosomal RNA". It matches the Rfam family "Bacterial small subunit ribosomal RNA", at positions 524 to 729 of the family's 1533-position model. The record is from RNAcentral.